UACGUAGGGGGCUAGCGUUGUCCGGAAUCAUUGGGCGUAAAGAGCGCGUAGGCGGCUGGAAUAGUCCGGUGUGAAAUCCACAGGCUUAACCUGUGAAUGCCGCUGGAAACUGUCUGGCUAGAGUCCGGAAGGGGCGAGUGGAAUUCCUGGUGUAGCGGUGAAAUGCGCAGAUAUCAGGAGGAACACCAAUGGCGAAGGCAGCUCGCUGGGACGGUACUGACGCUGAGGCGCGAAAGCUAGGGGAGCGAACGGG
RNAcentral lists this ribosomal RNA (253 nucleotides) under uncultured bacterium. RNAcentral's name for it is "partial 16S ribosomal RNA". It matches the Rfam family "Bacterial small subunit ribosomal RNA", at positions 524 to 776 of the family's 1533-position model. The record is from RNAcentral.